This 84-nucleotide transfer RNA is filed under the name Hordeum vulgare subsp. vulgare (domesticated barley). It matches the Rfam family "tRNA". Rfam says of the family: Transfer RNA (tRNA) molecules are approximately 80 nucleotides in length. The record is from Rfam by way of RNAcentral. Lineage: Eukaryota; Viridiplantae; Streptophyta; Magnoliopsida; Poales; Poaceae.
GCAUCUAUGGCUGAAUAGUGAAAGCGCCGACCAACCUAGAAAGGCAAAAAGGUCAAAAAGUAGGUUAGAUUCCUGCCGGAUGCA